AUUGGUUAGGGGGUGUGGGAAGGAAGCGAUGCAAGUGUUAUUCUCUUUGUAUAUUCUGUAAUUUUGAGGUCUAACGGAGAUUUCAUGAAUGUUAUAUCUUUGCCUGAUGACAGUGAGUAGAAGAAUACAAGCAGCGUCUUAGAAUCCAUGCUGUAUCUCAUUUAGUUCACACUGAUCUGAUCAGCUGCUAAACACGCGAGUACAAGGAAGCAGAGGUAACAUUUCAGAUUA
This 231-nucleotide unclassified non-coding RNA is filed under the name Hevea brasiliensis (rubber tree). The record is from RNAcentral. Lineage: Eukaryota; Viridiplantae; Streptophyta; Magnoliopsida; Malpighiales; Euphorbiaceae.